GGGGCUGUAGCUCAGCUGGGAGAGCGCGACGCUGGCAGCGUUGAGGUCAGGGGUUCAAUCCCCCUCAGCUCCACCA
Molecule: transfer RNA, 76 nt
Filed under: Candidatus Omnitrophota bacterium
Lineage: Bacteria; Pseudomonadati; Candidatus Omnitrophota
Description: tRNA-Ala
Rfam family: tRNA
About the family: Transfer RNA (tRNA) molecules are approximately 80 nucleotides in length. Their secondary structure includes four short double-helical elements and three loops (D, anti-codon, and T loops).
Source: RNAcentral